Long non-coding RNA from Neogobius melanostomus (round goby), 1767 nucleotides. Lineage: Eukaryota; Metazoa; Chordata; Actinopteri; Gobiiformes; Gobiidae. The record is from Ensembl.
UUUCCUUUCAUUCGGUCGAUAAUCAUGAAUAAUCGUAAAAUCGCAAUAUUUUCUUUCACAAUAAUUGUGACUCAAAAAAUUUAAAUCGUGACACCCCUAAUCUGAUGUUUGCAUUAAAGAAAGUUGUAUUUGCUGUUUUGCUGUAUUUGCGUUUGUGUGGACUGAGGAGAAAAAAGGAGAAAUGAUGAAAAACAGGAAGGCAUGCGGAGUACAUUGGGGGAGUGGCCAAUCCGCCUCUUUGUACCCAGAUAUCCAUGUAGGAGGAGUAGCGGAGGCAAUGGCUAAAAGAAAACCCUCAAUGUACAAGACCCAAGAUAUUUUUUAGAGAGACAUUUCCGCUGGUGGCAGCGCUAUGUCUCCACAGCAUAAAUUUGCUAUUUUGAAAUAUCCAAAACUAACUAAUGUGAGACAAAUGCUAUUAUUUUCCACUCAAAUGCCUUUUCAAUUCGGUCUUCCCAGGGAACUGUCAAUUCAGAGCAAGUUGUCUAGUAGCUUCUGACAGAACGAUGAUGUCUGGACGUGGUGAGAUUGCCGAGAUGUGCUGUGGAAAUUUGAGUUGUUUGCCAAAAUCAAUCAUUACCUGCAAGUCCCGGGCAGAGGAGAGCAUGCCCCCCGCUUCUUUGACUACCUUGACUUUCCUCUUUAAACUUCAUGGUUGUUUCACCCCAAGAACAACAUGGAUACAGGAGAUCGUUCCUCUGGUCCUGAGCGGAGGAGACCCAGCGUCUGUGGAGACUCUGCCCAAUAUCCAACGCUGUCCCUGGGUGGAAGCAGGGUGAGGCUGGAGGACAGGGCCUCUCCCAGAGUGAUCACCACACACCUCUACUACCACAUGAUGCCCCCGUCUUUCUUCACGGCCAGACCCAAGGAAUCACUGGUGAUUGGAAGAAUCAUCUCACAGAUGAGGAAGUGCAGAUGUUUGAUGCUGUUUACAAAAAUAAAACUCAGAACAUCAAUUACCAGUUUAUAUGGGACUAACCAUUCAUCUUUAAAAGAAUCUGUAGCUUUGAGUAAGAAAUCCAACACAAACAAUAAAGAACAAAAGGACUUUGAGGGGGUCCUUCAUUUUGAACUGCUUAUGUUAUUGCAAAUGCUAUCUUGGUUGUUGUUUUUUUUUAAAGAUGACAUUGGUUAAGUCCUCAAUAAACACUGUGGUAAAGUUAAUCUCAAAGUCUCUCUUUCUCUGUCUCUCUCUCUUGCACUGUGUUCGUCUCAAAGAGCAUAAAGAUGUUGCAGGAGUUAGCAGUUGUUUGUAUUGUGGAAAAUCAAAAUACAUGCAUUUAAACAUAAGUAAAAUCCAAUAGUAUUGACAUCAUUGCAUAGUUUCAACCAGUUUAGUUUUUCAAAUAAUUGACAAUGAUGUGUUCGAUAUGGACAUUUAAGUAAAAAUCUACAAAGAUAGUUUGUCGAUUGUUUAAUGGUUUGAGGUAUUCUUCAAAUAAAUUAUAUCUGCAUAAUCAAUGAUAGGUAAAAUUAACGGCAUAAUUAUUCUUUUUCUAACUGCUUGGGUAAUGUAUGUAGCCUAUUUAAUUUAAGUUCAAUAGACGUCAUACAGCCCAGGCUAAAGGAGGUCAUGGGAAUCACAGUUUUAGCCGUUUUAUGGCAAACAACAAACAUGUUUAUCACACAGAGACAAAGUUAAGUCAGAAUCAGAUUAUUGUGAAAGCUUUAUCCAGUAGAAGUGGAAAAAAUGGCAUUUGAAGCUAGUGUUAGCAUAUGUAGCAUGAAGCUAACAUGACUUUUGGUAAUACUAACAAUGUUAGGCAU